CAAAACAUGUUUAUUUGAAGUUAUAAAUAAUUUGGCCUGCCCCCUGAUUUUAAAUUAAAGGGCCGCAGUAUUAUAACUGUGCAAAGGUAGCAUAAUCAUUAGGUUUUUAAUUAGAAUCUUGUAUGAAUGGUCGGACAAAAGAAAAGCUCUCUUUAUAUUAAGUUUUGAAUUUAACUUUUAAGUGAAAAGGCUUAAAUAAACUAAAGGGACGAUAAGACCCUAUAAAACUUUACAUUAUAAUUAUAUUUUAGUGAAUUUAAAAAUAAAAAUUUAGUUUAAUUAUUUGUUAAGCUGGGGAGGCACAAAUAUAUAUUAUUUAAACUGUUUGAUAUUUAUACAAUUAUUAGUGGGUAAUUAGAAGAUCCUUUAUAAAGAUUAAUAGAUUAAGUUACUUUAGGGAUAACAGCGUAAUUUCUUUUGAGAGUUCUUAUCGAAAAGGAAGAUUGCGACCUCGAUGUUGAAUUAAAAUAUUCUAUAUAAUGAAGAGGUUAUAUUAGAAGGUCUGUUCGACCUUUAAAAUUUUACAUGAUUUGAGUUCAAACCGGUGUGAGCCAGGUU
This 558-nucleotide ribosomal RNA is filed under the name Sinolapotamon anacoluthon. RNAcentral's name for it is "partial large subunit ribosomal RNA". It matches the Rfam family "Bacterial large subunit ribosomal RNA", at positions 1809 to 2632 of the family's 2925-position model. Lineage: Eukaryota; Metazoa; Arthropoda; Malacostraca; Decapoda; Potamidae. The record is from RNAcentral.